GAAAACCACGGUGGUACAGGAUGGGCCCGCGUCUGAUUAGUUAGUUGGCAGGGUAACGGCCUACCAAGACAACGAUCAGUAGCCGGCUUGAGAGAGUGGACGGCCACAUUGGGACUGAGACACGGCCCAGACUCCUGCGGGAGGCAGCAGUGGGGAAUAUUGCACAAUGGGGGGAACCCUGAUGCAGCAAUGCCGCGUGGGUGAAGAAGCACUCCGGUGUGUAAAGCCCUGUCAGCAGGGAAGAAAAUGACAGUACCUGGACAAGAAGCCCCGGCUAACUACGUGCCAGCAGCCGCGGUAAUACGUAGGGGGCAAGCGUUAUCCGGAUUUACUGGGUGUAAAGGGAGCGCAGGCGGCGUGGCAAGUCAGAUGUGAAAACCCGGGGCCCAACCCCGGGAGUGCAUUUGAAACUGCCAUGCUGGAGUGCCGGAGAGGUAAGCGGAAUUCCUAGUGUAGCGGUGAAAUGCGUAGAUAUUAGGAGGAACACCAGUGGCGGAGGCGGCUUACUGGACGGUAACUGACGCUGAGGCUCGAAAGCGUGGGGAGCAAACAGGAUUAGAUACCCUGGUAGUCCACGCCGUAAACGAUG
This 589-nucleotide ribosomal RNA is filed under the name uncultured bacterium. Its description in RNAcentral is "bacterial SSU rRNA". It matches the Rfam family "Bacterial small subunit ribosomal RNA", at positions 202 to 811 of the family's 1533-position model. The record is from RNAcentral.